GCGUGCGCAGCUAUAAUGCAGUCGACGAGUUCUCGUUGAUGAUCGGUGCUUGCACCGAGAUUCAACAUGGAACGAGUGGCGGACGGGUGAGUAACACGUGGGUAACCUGCCCUUAAGUGGGGGAUAACAUUUGGAAACAGAUGCUAAUACCGCAUAGAUCCAAGAACCGCAUGGUUCUUGGCUGAAAGAUGGCGUAAGCUAUCGCUUUUGGAUGGACCCGCGGCGUAUUAGCUAGUUGGUGAGGUAAUGGCUCACCAAGGCGAUGAUACGUAGCCGAACUGAGAGGUUGAUCGGCCACAUUGGGACUGAGACACGGCCCAAACUCCUACGGGAGGCAGCAGUAGGGAAUCUUCCACAAUGGACGCAAGUCUGAUGGAGCAACGCCGCGUGAGUGAAGAAGGCUUUCGGGUCGUAAAACUCUGUUGUUGGAGAAGAAUGGUCGGCAGAGUAACUGUUGUCGGCGUGACGGUAUCCAACCAGAAAGCCACGGCUAACUACGUGCCAGCAGCCGCGGUAAUACGUAGGUGGCAAGCGUUAUCCGGAUUUAUUGGGCGUAAAGCGAGCGCAGGCGGUUUUUUAAGUCUGAUGUGAAAGCCCUCGGCUUAACCGAGGAAGCGCAUCGGAAACUGGGAAACUUGAGUGCAGAAGAGGACAGUGGAACUCCAUGUGUAGCGGUGAAAUGCGUAGAUAUAUGGAAGAACACCAGUGGCCGAAGGCGGCUGUCUGGGUCUGUAACUGACGCUGAGGCUCGAAAGCAUGGGUAGCCGAACAGGAUUAGAUACUCUGGUAGUCCAUGCCGUCAAACGAUGAUGCUAGGUGUUGGAGGGUUCCGCCCUUCAGUGCCGCAGCUUAACCGCAAUAAAGCAUUUCCGCCCUGGGGGGGAGUUA
This 888-nucleotide ribosomal RNA is filed under the name Lacticaseibacillus casei. RNAcentral describes it as "bacterial SSU rRNA". It matches the Rfam family "Bacterial small subunit ribosomal RNA", at positions 1 to 887 of the family's 1533-position model. Lineage: Bacteria; Bacillati; Bacillota; Bacilli; Lactobacillales; Lactobacillaceae. The record is from RNAcentral.